GCGGCAAGUUCUCAGCCCAUUCUGACAGUGACCCUAGGAAAAGACAGAGAGCCAGGGCUUGGCUCGGUUGGUAAAAGAGGCUUGAAAUGGUUUGCCUGGUGAUCCCAGCCUUUUGGUGCUUAGAGAGAAGAGGCGGGAGAAAGACCGAGGAAGAACAUUUUGGGGACCACUAUCAGCUGUAUGAAUUGUCAUCACCUCCUGUUGCCACUGUAUGGUAGCUGUACAUAAGAAGUCUGAGUCUGUUCUAAGAACACAUUUAUACUGGUGUAAUCUCAAUGACUUCACUGCAGCCACGCCUUAUUUACAGGAGUCAGAACACAAGUAGGAUCAAGGUACAAGGCCAAAGUACGGAGCAGGAAAAUUACCACUCUCUCCAGGAGCCAUCAGCUCCUGCCCACUUCCCUGCAACAGUGAUUCCACCAGCCACUCCCAGAUCAUGUUCUGAGAUAUAUAAUCUUCCUUAAUUCAGGACUUGAGCAGCAGCUUUUAACUGAAACCCAACAGAAUGCACCAGCAGUAGGAAAAGAGCAUUGAAGCAAGAUAGGUGAAUAGCCUGUGACCUCUCUGGACUCAGGAUGGAGUUUGCAGGAGCCAUCUUGAGAGGAAAGAGAGCAGUUCCAAAGCAGCCACACCAAACUCUGGCUGCAACAAACCCCUGACCUGGGGAAAACUAGUCCUGCUAUCAGGAAGAGAGCAGCAGUCACACUGGGUCCCAGCCUGAGAGGAACGUGUCAGCUAGCAAAUGCAGACCUGCAAGAUGACCUUUCACCAUCAUUUCUAUCGCUAAUGCUAAGAGGAGCUGACCAGGAGAUCUGCACCUGUCUAGUUUCAGAGAAGAAAAGCUGCAGCCAUCCUCUAGCCCAGAGCAGCAACACACAUGCCUGUUCCUGAAGGCUCCACCAGCCAAAUUACUGUGUUCCAGAAGGGCCAGUGUCCUGGUAGGUGACCAGACUCAUUGACUCAUCCACCUGACCUGGAGGCCUAAUCUGGAUAAGUGUAAGCAGUUCCAGAGGCACACCUCUGCAACUCCUUUCUGAGCUAGAACAGGGUAUUAGAUAGACUCUUGGACAACAUGUAUGCAGACUGUGGGCUUCAGACGCCACUGUCUUUUGUCUUGUGUUGUCACCAACACUUUUACAAGUUUAGUGUAAAACGCUACCACAUGGGAAUGGCUGUACACUCAUUCUGCACAGGCGUAAAUGAUUAGGUGAGAUGCAAGUCAGUGAUGAAUUGAGCCUUAUGUACUCCAUGGGCCAGAUUCUUGGCUGUUGUAAAUCAGCCUAGUUCCUUUUAUGGCAAUGGAGCACCUGAGACUCCAACUUCGUAUUUCUGCUACUACACUUCUGUUAUGAAGACCCAUUGCAGGCAGCAGCUUUGGCUUCCUGAGCUCUGUUGUAGGCCGUUUUUGUCACAUGACUUAGGGGUCUAUGAUCUCUGUUUUUUCUGCUAAUUUAUCUCCUGGAGCUUUCUACAAAUAACAGCAAAAGAUCUCCAGGUCCCUCUGCUUCUGUUGAUGGUGGAGGUAGAGGGGGGCAAGGGUGUCUAACAAAUACAUAAUUUUCUUCUCACUUCAUUGUUCUCUCUCCAUCUGAAAUGGCAGGUGUGCUGAGCAGGAAUGGUGUGUGAAUCGAUUUGGAGGCAAUCAGUGACACAGCAGCUGGCCAGAGCCGAACACCAAGUCAUCGAUCGGCUCCAAAUCAAUUUGCACACCGCUCCUGCUCACGUUACCUGCCAUUUCAGACAAAGAGGGAACAGUGAAGUGAGAAGAAAAUUGCACAAAAGUACACUGGGACCUUUCUAAAUAAUCUGAGAGGUCACUUACUAGCCACCCUUCCCUUCUUGUACGUGUGUCUAUACUAUAGAUGAAAGUAUGUGAUGGGGCUAUAUUGCUAUGCCUUGUUCCAUGGCUUAGAUGCUAUUGAAAGGGAACACAAGGCACUGGGAGAAACACUGAUGACUAGCAGAUAGCCUGGAUAAGACACACUGGGCUGGAUUCUCUGUUGCCUUGCACCUUCUGUAUUAGCUAGUUACACUAGUGCAAAGUGGGUAUAAGGCUCUGCCAUUCUCAGCUGCUCAGGUGUAAACAACGACCCGAGGUGACAGACAGUGGAGAAUCAGGCCCUUUAGUUUGUGAACACACUUAUCAGUGAACUGGUUUUUGUAUGUUUUAAUAAUACAGAUGUUGUGCAUGCCUGGAAGGCCUUCCAUCUGCAGAUGUCAAUGUGCUUUAUAAGCAUCCAUGAAUUAAGACUCCCAGCACUCAUGUCAGGUAGAAGGGAGUUAUUACCCCCAGUAACAAGAUGUGUGUCAAGCAUAAUUGCUUUGUCACUUUGGUUUGAUGGUGCUUUCCCUUUCCCCUUCCUUUGUACGUAUCUUCCCAUCUAAUUUGGACUAUAGACUCUUUUGAGCACGGACCUUGGUCCCAAUUCAUUCCCCGAUCCAGUGCAGGGACCAAAGGAGGCAGCUUGUGCUUCCCUAUCCUGAGGUACCAUUGGCCGGUCUGGCCCGGGCACAGGUCAGAAUUGCCAUGAAGGAUACCCUAACCUGUGCCCCAGUUAUCAGGGCUCUAUGGGCCUUGCAGCAGCUAAUGAAUACCUGAGGCAUAGGAACACCCAGGGCACAUACUGAAUGUCCCCUUUCCCAGAGGCUCUUGCACUGGGGCACAGCUGCAUCAUGCACUGUGGGUAUUUAUGUGGGGGAGUUUAGCCAGUGCAAAAUGAUCAUAGGGUAGCCAUGAAUUAGGCACCCUAUCUUCAUCCAUGCCUGCACAGCACCAAAGUGUCAAUGCACAGCAAUGUCCAUAAACUGCCAUAGACAACAAUAUGAAUAAUUAUUUUACUGAUCAGGAAAGUGAGGCACUGCAUGAUUGAGUAAAUUGCCCAAAGUCAUAUUGCAAGUCAAUGCCAUAUCUUGACUCAACACUUAAUCACAUUUAAUCACUGGAUCAUGCUGCCUCUCUUCUUAAUAAAAUAAAACGAUGUAGAUAGCAUACAGCUAAAUACAUUUGAAAGAUGCAGUGGAAGCUAGGAUAGGGGCUCUUUAUUUGUUCUGCUGCAGUUCAGGACAUGGUGAGUGCAUAAACAGAGCAGAGAGCUGCAUUCCUUGCAUUGCUUUGGGGGUUAGCAACUGAACUAGGCAAAAUGAAAAACACUGAACACAGGUCCUGCCAGGUUCAGUAGAAGAAGAACUAGUUUUCAACUACUUUAUUAUUCACUAAUUAUUAAUGCAAGGAUUGACUACAUGCUUAUCUGUUUACAGUGGGUUAGAUUGCAGAUAGUCCUAAAGCAGAAGGAAGGAAGGAACGA
This is a long non-coding RNA of Mauremys reevesii (Reeves's turtle), 3305 nucleotides long. RefSeq lists it as uncharacterized. The record is from RefSeq and is a predicted model, not a curated record. Lineage: Eukaryota; Metazoa; Chordata; Testudines; Geoemydidae. The transcript is spliced from 4 exons.